Molecule: long non-coding RNA, 1399 nt
Organism: Phyllopteryx taeniolatus (common seadragon)
Lineage: Eukaryota; Metazoa; Chordata; Actinopteri; Syngnathiformes; Syngnathidae
Exons: 5
Source: RefSeq, a predicted model, not a curated record
GAGAACCUGGUCAUGGAUCAACUGGUGAAGUAGAUCUCCAAGCUUGGCACCUGUUGGAAAGACAGACAAUGAAUUUUGUUUGUUGUUCCAGGUGGUGGAAACAUGGAGUUACGAUCAACUUCCUGUCCAACAUGUUGAGGUCGGAAUGCCAUCACAGUCCAAGUGCCAUCGGGGACUCGGCCACCAAGAUCCUGCACCUGCUUAAUCUUGAAUGUUGACAUGCAAAUAAACUUACUAAAUAGGAGCUUGGCUGGUCCCUCGUUCAUCUCUUGUUGUGUUCAGGUCUCCCGGAGAAGUCUCUGUGCCACCAGUCCACUGUGAAGGCUUCAGUUGUUCGAUGCAAAGAUGGUUCUUGUGCAGUUGUGUUCAAGCUAAAGGUGAAGUAGAUCUCCAAGCUUGGACCUGUUGGAAAGACAUUGCAUCAUGAUCAACUUCUGUCCAACAUGUUGAGAGGUCGGCUUCCAGUCCAAGUGCCAUCGGGGACUCUGCCACCAAAAUCCUGGACCUGCUGGGCAAAGAGAUGAGUUCUACAUGACUGUGGAGAAGGACUCCCGGAGAAGUCUCUGCGCCACCAGUCCAUUCUGAAGGCUUCAGUCGUUUGAUGGACGGUUCUUGUCCCAGUACUUGUUCAAGCAGAAGGUUCCUGUCUACCCGAGAUGAUUUUCCAGCAAGGUCCUUGCUUGUCUUUUGUCUGCAGUCACGACAGCCUCUUGUUUGAAGUCAUUGGGAGCUGAGGAACAAGAUGGUGGUAUUUAAAAUAAAAAACAAAAAGUUGAGCAGUUUAACAGUUAACAACUUGAGUCAGAAGAAGUUUGAAACUAAGAUGAUUCCUCAUGUCGUCACGCUCAAACAGCUUCUGCCGAAGGUUACGGUUGAGAGUUAACCACAAUAAAAAAUGCAACUUGAAUCUGUGUCCACUUGCAUGUUCUUUGUCAUUCAGGUGGUCGUGCAGAUGGAGCCAUCAGUCCUACAAGGUGAAACGCUGCAUUCACGGUACGGAGCGGAGCUGCAGACAAAUGUUUUUCUUGUUGCUUCCUCUCAUCCACAAGGUGCUGAAGCCAAAUUUUGGAGCAGCCUGAGAAGCGGGAGACCUUGACCCCUGGACGGUACGCCCUUUGAAUUGUCUUCAUUCCACAAUUGGGUCUUCUUGGAUCCAGUUUUUUUUUUUUUUUCUUUUUCCCCUUCUUCGGGUUGCUGAGGAACAUGCAGCCGUGCGAGUGCUCUAAGGCCCAGAAAACAAGUCUCCCGUCUUCCUCGCUGGUCCGCACACCGGUCCACGCUCUCGUCACACAGGCCGAUCACUUCACCAGGCAGCGAUGAGGAGACGAUUGCUGAUGUCAUCAGGCUUCGACUUGGUUUCCUUUGUGAUUUCAUUUCUGUUGCUUAACAUCUACUCUGC